RNAcentral lists this ribosomal RNA (254 nucleotides) under uncultured bacterium. Its description in RNAcentral is "partial 16S ribosomal RNA". It matches the Rfam family "Bacterial small subunit ribosomal RNA", at positions 524 to 776 of the family's 1533-position model. The record is from RNAcentral.
UACGAAGGGGGCUAGCGUUGUUCGGAAUUACUGGGCGUAAAGGGCGCGUAGGCGGCCCUCCAAGUCAGAUGUGAAAGCCCCGGGCUUAACCUGGGGAAUAGCAUUUGAGACUGAAGGGCUUGAGUUUCGGAGAGGUGGGUGGAAUUCCCAGUGUAGGGGUGAAAUUCGUAGAUAUUGGGAAGAACACCGGUGGCGAAGGCGGCUCUCUGGACCGACACUGACGCUGAGGCGCGAAAGCUAGGGGAGCAAACAGG